This is a non-coding RNA of Myotis brandtii (Brandt's bat), 76 nucleotides long. The record is from Rfam. Lineage: Eukaryota; Metazoa; Chordata; Mammalia; Chiroptera; Vespertilionidae.
GGCAGUUCUCAGGUGACACACCCCGGAAUCAGGCUCCCUCCUCUCUGGUUCCGGGGUGCAUCACCCGAGAGCUGCA